Parus major (Great Tit) is the source of this 3375-nucleotide long non-coding RNA. RefSeq lists it as uncharacterized. The transcript has 2 exons. Lineage: Eukaryota; Metazoa; Chordata; Aves; Passeriformes; Paridae. The record is from RefSeq and is a predicted model, not a curated record.
UGUCAGCUGCUCAACCUGUAAGGAAAACACAGACACCAAGUCAUUUUAAUUUUGUCAGCAUCACUGAUUGCUAAAAGGAAACGUUAUUUGUUCAACAGCCUUUGCCAGGGUCAGCCAAACCUCACAGACCAGGGAAUAUACAGCCAGUAGGGGGUCGACACCACAAGUUUUUGUAGUCUAAAAGAUUCUUCCCCUUAAAAAAAUUAUUCGUCUCUCCUUUGAAACAAGCAUUACUUCUCUAGAGUAGUAGAUGCUAAUACAUGGCAGAAAUAGCCUUUGUACAAGCAGGGAAAGCCCACUGAGAAAAGAAUACGCCUCUCGACCAUUUGGGGAUAAUUUCUUGUUGCUGGCAGGUUUCACUGCAGGAUGGCUGCACUGCUGAGGGCUGCUCACAUGUGCUUGAGAGUUCCCUAGGGAGGGACAGGUAGACAAGACUAUCCCCAGUAGUUGUUUUUCAGCCCUAGAUUCAGGAAACUUAACUAAUGCUUAACUAUCCAGAACUGAACUGCUCUGCUUCCACCUGGGCCAGUGUUAUUACAAAGGUAUCUGGCUCUGAAGGGAGCUGCUAUUCCCUUUAGCCUGUUUUGGGAAUCUCUGAAGAAAUGUGGAGCCUGUGGAGCCAACAGGCAUUAGCUGCCAUGGGCUGGCAGACUGUUCCCAGACUCUGCCCUAAUUCAAUCCCCACAGAUCAUCAGUGGAAGCUUAUUAGACACCAUGAAUUAAUGAAGAUAAACAAAAAUGAGAGCAAAGGGGAUUCAAUCAGCUCCGUGCCAUACCUGUUUAAGUGUAUUUCUCUCUUUGGCUUCAUUGCAGGUACUGCUUAGCUGAACUUGCUGCCCUCACCACCAUGUCCAACUGCCCCUUUGGUAGCAUCCAUGACAGCACCUUCCUAUGCUGGCUGAGAGCCUCUCUAGACCCAGCCAGAUCAGACCCCAUGCCUGCCCUGUCUGACCCCACUAAAGUCUCCUUGCUGCUGCCCCCAUGCAAGUGGCCCCCAACACCCAUCCCUGCCAUGUUUUUUUGGGGGCAGAACCCCACAACCCAGGGUUGUGGCACUGUCUUGGAUCAAAAGCUGAUUCUUUUUCCCUGGAGGACAAUGGUUUUGCAAAAGUCAGCUGGUUCUUCCUGCUUGCAACAAGAAGCAGAAAAAAGUACUUUUCCUUAGCGGGACAGAGCCUGUGGGAAGCAGGCAGAGCAUUUUAUCCCACUCCCCAUGCUCUGGGAAGUGAGGACUUGUCACAAAUUUUUCUGACAAAUGGCAGGAUUUUUCUCUGCUGCUGGAGGAAACCCAAGCCCAGAGUGUUUCUGGCAGUGAUGAAGGCAGGCAGGCAGCUGCUGGACCUCUGUAGACAUUGUUUGGGCAGAGCAAGGGCAGCCACCACCACGAUGGCCACAGCCACGUCCUGCUCUGUAACACAACACUCUUGGCGCAGUCGCUAUUUAUAAGCCUGGCUGAGAGAGGUGCUGGAGAUAAAGAUGAGCUCCCCGAUUGUUCCCAGGCUUUGGUAUUUAUCCUUGCAGCCCUUUAUCUGGACACUUGUCCCUGGCACUGUUCUGGGCACCACUUAACAGAGCCUAAAAAUAUUCCCAAAAUAGCUUUGCGUUUGCACACCCUUAUCUAGGCAUGAGUGGGUAAGAUGAAAAUCCAUUGGGUUCUCUGGCUGCACGUAGGGGAUUUGGCAUGAAUGUAAUAUUAAUAUAUGCUAUCAGCAUGCAGAAAAUAUACAACUAUUCACUUUUGAAGCCUCCUCGAGUACUGAAGUGAUAGAUGUGGUAUAUAUAAAUACAAUGCAUUGUUGCUAUAGAGUGACAUUUUUGUUACAGAGAUGUCUCUUGAGCUGUUCAUAGUUCACUCCAGGUAUGGGUGCUGUUUGCUGCCUUAUUCCUCUUUUCCCUCCACAUCGUUCCAGGAACAGGUUUUUCUGACUGUGAGAAGGCAAGCUCCAAGCUCACAACACAGCAGCAGCCAUGGAAAAUGCUUUCUUACAGUCAAAAUGGUGGGAAAUAGAUCCACAAAAGUGCUGUUUGUCUCAGCUGUGCCUGGCUUGGACUUGUUUUGCCUCUGUAAAGGUGUUGGGAGUUAAUGCCCAAGACUCAAACCCUACAUUUACCUAAUUAAUGGGCAUUCGGUCCCUAGCAAAGAGGAAAGAGGGUGUGCCUUGAGUCACAGGGAACAUAUUUAACUAAAAACCUUAAUUAGAAAGGCCUGUGUUUUCUUUGAUUUUACAGGUUCCAUUUUUCUCCUGUUUGAAGGUGUUGGUUGGAGGACCUUUUCACACUAUCAGGAUCACUACAGGGGUUCCAUUCCCCGAGGUUCAAGGCUGACAGGGGAUGUGUGAGCAUUGGGGUUUUUUUUCUUCAAUUUACCUCCAAGGACUAUAUUCCUUCCCUCUAAAAACCUUGGAAUAAUUAUAAGACUUGUAUGAUGCUUUUUUUGUGCUCUUAACUUAAAAUCAAAUUUGAUCAGCUGUAUGUUUAAGGGGGGAAAAGCACCAAAAAGCUCUUACUGUAAAUCCAGUUAUGGAUGCAAUAGCAAUCCACACAAGCCAGAAUCUAUUUUCAUCCUUAUUCCACUCAGACAUCUCUAUGUCUGUCUAUGUUACAGAAUAAUGCUGUAUUCUUAUUACAGACCAAAUAGUUUGGGUUUACACAGUGAGCACAGCAUGCAGCUGGGGAAGUUAAAAUAGCCUAAGGGUGCUCCAAGUUCCUCAGGGCAUAGCUCACAUUCUCGAUUCUGCACAUCACAGACCAGGAGCAGCAAAGCAGAGGAGGAGGUUUGGAAAUAACUGAGAAAAAAAACAUGGGUUUUCUAAAAUCUCCCUGAAAAAUAUUCAGUUAAGGAAGGGGGAAACAUAGCAAUGGCAGAGUUGUAAAGCAUCAGAAAGAAGAGGGUGAGUUUUAACCCAUAAUGUUAUUAUUUGAAUUUAAUAUUUAUUUCCUGGGAAAUCUUUCUCUGCUUUGUCUGAGCUAAAGCCAAGAGUCAUCUCCUAUGCCAUGCAGGUUUUAUUGAGAUUUAUAGCUUCACCUAGGAGCCAUCUCCCUGCUUUACAGUGGUGAACCAGGGGGUCAUUGUAAAUAAUUAAACAGCAGGUUGAGAGUUUCACACUUGUAAGAGGAGUGUGAAACUUCCAGAGCCAUGAGAAGGCAGGGUCUGUGUCCUGGAUGAGGAUGUUGACUAAAAGUUGCUGCCAUAUAAUUAUUUCUCACUUCCAUUUCUCCACUGAAUUAUUGCUACUGCAGCUUCGGGGAACGUACGACAGAAAUCCCUAGAGUCAUUUCAGACUCCCCUCCCCAUCCCACAGCCCCAAGGGGAGACACUCACCGCUGCCUUAUAAAUGUCAUCCAUGGCUGGAGCGGGUGGGCGAGGGGCCGGGG